Molecule: small RNA, 99 nt
Filed under: Arabidopsis thaliana (thale cress)
Lineage: Eukaryota; Viridiplantae; Streptophyta; Magnoliopsida; Brassicales; Brassicaceae
Description: ATSL266700
Source: RNAcentral
AGACUCCUAGAAACUAACCAAGCUUCUUCUUGCUUCUCAAAGCUUUGAUCGUGUAGCCGUAGUCCGUAUGAGUCUUUGUCUUUGUAUCUUCCAGCAAGG